CAGCAGCCGCGGUAAUACGUAGGAUGCAAGCGUUGCUCGGAAUCACUGGGCGUAAAGAGCGCGUAGGUGGUUUGGUAAGUCAGAAGUGAAAGCCCUCGGCUUAACCGGGGAACUGCUUUUGAAACUGCCAUGCUAGAGUACGGGAGAGGGAGGUAGAAUUCCUGGUGUAGCGGUGAAAUGCGUAGAUAUCAGGAAGAAUACCGGCGGCGAAGGCGGCCUCCUGGCCCGAUACUGACACUGAGGCGCGAAAGCGUGGGGAGCGAACAGGAUUAGAUACCCUGGUAGUCCACGCCCUAAACGAUGAGUACUAGGUGUGGGGGAUGUGAUGUCCUGCCGUGCCGGAGCUAACGCAUUAAGUACUCCGCCUGGGAAGUGCGGCCGCAAGGUUGAAACUCAAAGGAAUUGACGGGGGCCCGCACAAGCGGUGGAGCAUGUGGUUUAAUUCGACGCCACGCGAAGAACCUUACCUGGGCUUGACAUCCGGGAGAUCCCUUGGAAACUGGGGGGGUGCCCUUCGGGGAGCUCGAAGACAGGUGCUGCAUGGCUGUCGUCAGCUCGUGCCGUGAGGUGUUGGGUUAAGUCCCGCAACGAGCGCAACCCUUGCCCUUAGUUGCCAUCAGUUCGGCUGGGCACUCUAAGGGGACUGCUAGCGUCAAGCUGGAGGAAGGUGGGGACGACGUCAAGUCAUCAUGGCCUUUAUGCCCAGGGCUACACACGUGCUACAAUGGCCGGUACAGAGGGCCGCGAACCCGCGAGGGCAAGCAAAUCCCAGAAAGCCGGCCUCAGUUGGGAUCGCAGUCUGCAACUCGACUGCGUGAACUUGGAAUCGCUAGUAAUCGCGGAUCAGAACGCCGCGGUGAAUACGUUCCCGGGCCUUGUACACACCGCCCGUCACACCACGAAAAUUUGAUAUACCCAAAACCGGUGUUCCAACCCGCAAGGGAGGUAGCCGUCUAAGGUGUGUCAAGUAAUUGGGGUGAAGUCGUAACAAGGUAACCGUA
This 1001-nucleotide ribosomal RNA is filed under the name uncultured bacterium. Its description in RNAcentral is "bacterial SSU rRNA". It matches the Rfam family "Bacterial small subunit ribosomal RNA", at positions 509 to 1504 of the family's 1533-position model. The record is from RNAcentral.